RNAcentral lists this long non-coding RNA (1382 nucleotides) under Chrysolophus pictus (golden pheasant). Its description in RNAcentral is "lncRNA (ENSCPIG00010010638.1)". The record is from RNAcentral. Lineage: Eukaryota; Metazoa; Chordata; Aves; Galliformes; Phasianidae.
CUGCAUGGGGCAACUGCUUUCCUCCGUGAGCUUCCCUGAUGCAAUACAUUUGCCAGUUAAUUAAAACAAAUAAAUCACUCACAUACGCUGCAGAGUGCCUAUGUGAAUGAGGCAUGCUAAUAAAAAUAAGUAACUUUCAAAGACCUCUGCCUCCCAGCUAGAGGAGAUUUACGGCUUCGAGAUAGGAGCGUUGCCUUGAACCAGAGAUGCCUCUUCUGCACAGCGAGGGGCAGCCCAGAUUUCUGAUCAUUUCUCCAUCCACAGCCACCCACAGCGUACUGCUGCUGUGCAGGGGCAUGCCACCACCUCUUCACACGGACUGCUGCGGAACAAGGGACAGGGCAGAGGCAGAUGGUGGAACAAUGUGCUGGGGGAUGACUGAAAUUGAAAAUCUCAGGAUGUAUUUUUCAAAUGCUUUCCCUCAGCAACUCUGCCAUCCGACUGCUACAGAGGCUCAGCUGGGAGGAGGCACAGGCACGUUCACAGAAGCCCUCAGUGGAGACUUUGCCAGCUGUCUUCAUGCAUGGGGCAAUCCGGGCUGAACAAGAGAUGGAGCACAGAGGAGAGGCAUAAAAGAUUCUGAAACGCCUCCUAGAACUGCACAGGAAAGCAGUACAUCCAAGCAGCAAUUCACCUGCUGCUCCUCCAUUUUCCUGGUGCAGAUGGAACAGCGUGGGAAGGACUGCUGCUCCCACAGCAGAUAGUGAGACUCUGAAGUCAUUUCCACUCACGCUUGUGCAUCCAAGCGCUCACUGGAGUUGUGGCACAACUCUUCUGGAGAAGACACACACAACAGGCAGUCAGCUGUAAGCUCCAAGUGCUGGCAGGAGCCGACGUGCAAGAGGAGCAGACUGUCUGGGACCUGGAUACAGCUCAUCUUCACUACAAAGGACUGUUAUGAGUUAUUGUUUAACCUGGAGUUAAAGAAAUGUAUCCAUCUCCUUGUCAUCUUCAAUUUGCAGGAAAGUCCCUCUGAUACUUGGUCCUAACUUGCAUCAGUGAUGCAAAGUGUCAUAAAUAUUUCGACAAGUUUGGCUACCUGCAGCACUCUCAGCAGCCUAGAAAGCUUCAAACAGUCCUGAAGUUUUUUUCAAAGUAAUACUUAAUUAUUUGUAUGCAACACAAAUGAGUGUAAUAUUAGUGAUCAGGAAGAAUUUAAACAUUUAGGAACACAAUGUGAAUGCAUUACUAAUGUGUAAAACAUUUUGUCCUUUCCUGUCUUGUUCAGAAGCAUGCUGAAUUACAACCCUGAGGGGAAUGUGAUGGCAUUAUUCAUCCCUAAUUUUAAACACUAGACAAAAAUAUCUAAAAUUAACAUACCGUUUGUGAUAUUAAUACAUGGCAUAAAACUGAAAAUGAAUAAAAGCAAAUCCUACAAGUCA